This 508-nucleotide ribosomal RNA is filed under the name uncultured glomeraceous AM fungus. RNAcentral's name for it is "SSU rRNA". It matches the Rfam family "Eukaryotic small subunit ribosomal RNA", at positions 569 to 1078 of the family's 1831-position model. The record is from RNAcentral. Lineage: Eukaryota; Fungi; Glomeromycota; Glomeromycetes; Glomerales; Glomeraceae.
AGCAGCCGCGGUAAUUCCAGCUCCAAUAGCGUAUAUUAAAGUUGUUGCAGUUAAAAAGCUCGUAGUUGAAUUUCGGGGUUAGUAGGUUGGUCAUGCCUCUGGUAUGUACUGGUCUCACUGAUUCCUCCUUCCUGAUGAACCUUAAUGCCAUUAAUUUGGUGUUUUGGGGAAUUUGGACUGUUACUUUGAAAAAAUUAGAGUGUUUAAAGCAAGCUAACGCUUGAAUACAUUAGCAUGGAAUAAUGAAAUAGGACGUUCGAUCCUAUUUUGUUGGUUUCUAGGAUUGACGUAAUGAUUAAUAGGGAUAGUUGGGGGCAUUAGUAUUCAAUUGUCAGAGGUGAAAUUCUUGGAUUUAUUGAAGACUAACUACUGCGAAAGCAUUUGCCAAGGAUGUUUUCAUUAGUCAAGAACGAAAGUUAGGGGAUCGAAGACGAUCAGAUACCGUCGUAGUCUUAACCAUAAACUAUGCCGACUAGGGAUCGGAUGAUGUUAAUUUUUUAAUGACUCA